CCCCAAUACAGAUCUUGCGAAAGAUCUUUUGCUCAACAUGAAGGUUUUUCAGAGCCCGGCUCUAGUUAUAGCAUUGCUACAACAGGGCAGAGAAAAUAGCUCCAACCCAGAACUGUCUUCAGUUUUAAAGGAGAUUCAAAAACAGUAUGGCAGCGAAAACAGCAAAUUACUUCACACAAAACUCAACCAACUUGUAGGUCCACUAUUACAGGAGUACUGGAGACUGGAAGACAAGGUGCAAGCUUUGAUGAAGGAUGAUAAG
This is a long non-coding RNA of Lingula anatina, 262 nucleotides long. The record is from RefSeq and is a predicted model, not a curated record. Lineage: Eukaryota; Metazoa; Brachiopoda; Lingulata; Lingulida; Lingulidae.